Non-coding RNA from Cinara cedri, 694 nucleotides. Lineage: Eukaryota; Metazoa; Arthropoda; Insecta; Hemiptera; Aphididae. The record is from the annotation of a GenBank genome assembly.
UAUCUUUAUACUUUAAACAAUUAUACAGUAGUUUUUGAAUAUAUAAAUAUUUAGGAAGUGUUAUAACAAGCAAUGGAAAAUAUAUUCAAGAAAUAAUAUGAUGCAGAUUACAAAAGACACGUUCCAAAGAAAAAAAAACCUACUUACUUCCUGAAAUAUAAAUAUAAAAAGACGUCCCAGGAUAAUGGGGAUGGGUGCAGCCACUGUUAUAGAUAAUUUAUAAUGUACACCUGUAAGCAUCAAUAAACCGUUGCUUCCAAAAAAACGAUUCCAAGCGGAGUUCAAUUGAUAGUGAUGCUUUGUCAACGAUAUAUAUGUUAUUUUAUAGUAAAAUAAUUAAAUAGGCUAUAUAUAUUUUCUUUAAUAAUAUUUGUUCAAUAUUGUACAGAUUUUCUCAGAUUUCCUACGUUUAUCCCGGUUUUUCACAUUUGCUGAAAAAACUUUUGAGAAAAGUAUACUUAUCAAGUAUAACACCUUUUCUGAAAGGACAUUUUCUCUGGGUGUUACUUCAAAGAGAUCAUUUUUUGAAACUCUCAUUAAUAUUCGAGAUAAUGAGGAAAACCUCGAUCCACAAGUUAAGGAUUUGAAAGAUUAAAAACAAGGUUGUCAUUGGCAACCGUUAUUAUUUGUUUUUGUUAUUAUUAAGUUUUUAUUAUUUUAAUCUUUUUUAAACAAUCAUUGUUGGCAUGAAAAC